This 277-nucleotide small RNA is filed under the name Meriones unguiculatus (Mongolian gerbil). RNAcentral's name for it is "7SK RNA (ENSMUGG00000001601.1)". It matches the Rfam family "7SK RNA", at positions 1 to 293 of the family's 331-position model. From Rfam's summary of the family: 7SK was discovered as an abundant small nuclear RNA in the mid-70s but a possible function has only recently been suggested. Two independent studies have found that 7SK RNA binds the CDK9/cyclin T complex (known as elongation factor P-TEFb). Lineage: Eukaryota; Metazoa; Chordata; Mammalia; Rodentia; Muridae. The record is from RNAcentral.
GUUCUCGAGGGUGAUCUGGCUGUGACAUCUGUCACCCCAUUGAUCGCCAGCCAGGGUUGAUUUGGCUGAUCUGGCUGGCUAGGCCGGUGUCUCCUCCUUCCCUCACCACUCCAUAUGCCUCCCUCCUGAAGCUGUGCACUAGGUCGAAGAGGACAAUUUUCCCCGAAUAGAGGAGGACUGGUCUUUGGUCAAGGGUAUAUGAGUAGCUGUGCUCCCCUGCUAAAACCUCCAAACAAGCUCAAAGUCUAUACUCCAUUUUUAAUUGACUUAUUUAAUU